This 427-nucleotide ribosomal RNA is filed under the name uncultured soil bacterium. RNAcentral describes it as "bacterial SSU rRNA". It matches the Rfam family "Bacterial small subunit ribosomal RNA", at positions 965 to 1393 of the family's 1533-position model. The record is from RNAcentral.
AGAACCUUACCAAGGCUUGACAUGGCCUCAAAAGCCGCAGAGAUGCGGUGUCCGCAAGGGGGGGUCACAGGUGGUGCAUGGCUGUCGUCAGCUCGUGUCGUGAGAUGUUGGGUUAAGUCCCGCAACGAGCGCAACCCUUGUCUCAUGUUGCCAGCGGGUAAUGCCGGGGACUCGUGAGAGACUGCCGGGGUCAACUCGGAGGAAGGUGGGGAUGACGUCAAGUCAUCAUGCCCCUUAUGUCCAGGGCUUCACACAUGCUACAAUGGCCGGUACAAAGGGCUGCGAUGCCGUAAGGUUAAGCGAAUCCUUUUAAAGCCGGUCUCAGUUCGGAUUGGGGUCUGCAACUCGACCCCAUGAAGUCGGAGUCGCUAGUAAUCGCAGAUCAGCAACGCUGCGGUGAAUACGUUCCCGGGCCUUGUCACACCGA